This 397-nucleotide ribosomal RNA is filed under the name uncultured bacterium. RNAcentral's name for it is "partial 16S ribosomal RNA". It matches the Rfam family "Bacterial small subunit ribosomal RNA", at positions 523 to 918 of the family's 1533-position model. The record is from RNAcentral.
CUACGUAGGGGGCGAGCGUUGUCCGGAAUGAUUGGGCGUAAAGGGCGCGUAGGCGGCCCGGUAAGUCUGGAGUGAAAGUCCUGUUUUUAAGAUGGGAAUUGCUUUGGAUACUGUCGGGCUUGAGUGCAGGAGAGGUAAGUGGAAUUCCCAGUGUAGCGGUGAAAUGCGUAGAGAUUGGGAGGAACACCAGUGGCGAAGGCGACUUACUGGACUGUAACUGACGCUGAGGCGCGAAAGUGUGGGGAGCAAACAGGAUUAGAUACCCUGGUAGUCCACACUGUAAACGAUGAAUGCUAGGUGUAGGGGGUAUCGACCCCUUCUGUGCCGCAGUCAACACAAUAAGCAUUCCGCCUAGGGAGUACGGCCGCAAGGUUGAAACUCAAAUGAAUUGACGGGG